RNAcentral lists this ribosomal RNA (477 nucleotides) under uncultured bacterium. RNAcentral's name for it is "partial 16S ribosomal RNA". It matches the Rfam family "Bacterial small subunit ribosomal RNA", at positions 30 to 507 of the family's 1533-position model. The record is from RNAcentral.
AUUGAUCGCUGGCGGCAUGCCUUACACAUGCAAGUCGAACGGUAACAGGUUAAGCUGACGAGUGGCGAACGGGUGAGUCAUGUAUCGGAACGUGCCCAGUCGUGGGGGAUAACUGCUCGAAAGAGCAGCUAAUACCGCAUACGACCUGAGGGUGAAAGCGGGGGAUCGCAAGACCUCGCGCGAUUGGAGCGGCCGAUAUCAGAUUAGGUAGUUGGUGAGGUAAAGGCUCACCAAGCCGACGAUCUGUAGCUGGUCUGAGAGGACGACCAGCCACACUGGGACUGAGACACGGCCCAGACUCCUACGGGAGGCAGCAGUGGGGAAUUUUGGACAAUGGGCGCAAGCCUGAUCCAGCCAUGCCGCGUGCGGGAAGAAGGCCUUCGGGUUGUAAACCGCUUUUGUCAGGGAAGAAAAGGUUCUGGCUAAUACCUGGGACUCAUGACGGUACCUGAAGAAUAAGCACCGGCUAACUACGUG